AGGAACGCGAAGAACCUUACCUAAGCUUGACAUCCCACUGACCUCUCCCUAAUCGGAGAUUUCCCUUCGGGGACAGUGGUGACAGGUGGUGCAUGGUUGUCGUCAGCUCGUGUCGUGAGAUGUUGGGUUAAGUCCCGCAACGAGCGCAACCCUUGCCUUUAGUUGCCAGCAUUAAGUUGGGCACUCUAGAGGGACUGCCGAGGAUAACUCGGAGGAAGGUGGGGAUGACGUCAAAUCAUCAUGCCCCUUAUGCUUAGGGCUACACACGUGCUACAAUGGGUGGUACAGAGGGUUGCCAAGCCGCGAGGUGGAGCUAAUCCCUUAAAGCCAUUCUCAGUUCGGAUUGUAGGCUGAAACUCGCCUACAUGAAGCUGGAGUUACUAGUAAUCGCAGAUCAGAAUGCUGCGGUGAAUGCGUUCCCGGGCCUUGUACACACCGCCU
This 441-nucleotide ribosomal RNA is filed under the name Clostridium sp. enrichment culture clone HW9. Its description in RNAcentral is "bacterial SSU rRNA". It matches the Rfam family "Bacterial small subunit ribosomal RNA", at positions 955 to 1395 of the family's 1533-position model. The record is from RNAcentral. Lineage: Bacteria; Bacillati; Bacillota; Clostridia; Eubacteriales; Clostridiaceae.